CGGACGGGUUAGUAACACGUGGAUAACCUACCUAUAAGACUGGGAUAACUUCGGGAAACCGGAGCUAAUACCGGAUAAUAUUUUGAACCGCAUGGUUCAAAAGUGAAAGACGGUCUUGCUGUCACUUAUAGAUGGAUCCGCGCUGCAUUAGCUAGUUGGUAAGGUAACGGCUUACCAAGUCAACGAUGCAUAGCCGACCUGAGAGGGUGAUCGGCCACACUGGAACUGAGACACGGUCCAG
This 241-nucleotide ribosomal RNA is filed under the name uncultured Staphylococcus sp. RNAcentral describes it as "partial 16S ribosomal RNA". It matches the Rfam family "Bacterial small subunit ribosomal RNA", at positions 99 to 334 of the family's 1533-position model. Lineage: Bacteria; Bacillati; Bacillota; Bacilli; Caryophanales; Staphylococcaceae. The record is from RNAcentral.